CUGAAAGCGCUUUGCACAUAUUAACUCACUCAAUCCUCAGAGCCGCUUUAUGAGGUAUGUGCUGUCAUGAUCCUCACUUUAACAAAUGGGAAAUAUGAGGUGCAGAAAGGGCAAGAAACUUUCCCCAAAGCUCACGAGAAGUGCGGCACGGAUUUGAAAUUAGGGUGUCAGCUCGAGACGCCAAGCUUCAACUCCCACCCCACCGGGGCCCUCCCCAGAGCCUCCAUGUCUCCCUGCCGUUGCCGGGCACCUCGUCCAGGGUGCCUUCCUGUUCCCCACUGCUCAACCUCCCCAACCUCCCCAGCCCUUACUGCCAAUAUCCUCAGAGGGCUGGGGAGCCCAAUAACAGCACCCCCCAGGUGUGAUCAGAGGACAGCGGGCAGAAAGCACUGGAAUGGGCUUAAACACUAAACAAACCCCAGUGCCUUUGAAGUACCAUGCUCUGGUCACUUGUGUUGGUGAAAGCCGUAGUCCUGAGGCCACCUGCCCUCUCCCAGAACUGAAGAGCUGGCACCCAUGAAGGGCCAGGCUGACCCCACUCCCCAUGCAGCCGCAAGCCAGGACUGCAGCAAUGCAGAGAGCAGAGACCACCAGGAUGGCCCCUGGCUGGGCCCCCAAAUGACCUGCGGGCAGGCUGUGCUCACAGGAGGCUGCGUGUCUGCUGGAGUCCGCACCUGCCAGCCUGGCUCUGCAUCUGGAAGCCUUACAGGAGCACCUCAGAGCCGAGCUUCGAGGCCUUGCUGCAGUCAGAUGGGGAAUACACGGCCCACCUGCUCCCCAAGCAGCCUGCCCUGCCAUGCUGCCCUGUGGGUCUGGGGUACCACUGGAUGAGCUCUGGUGACAACAAGUUUCAGCUCAGCUGCCGACUCCGCUCUGGAAGCCCGAGGGGCUCCCGGGGGCUCAGGCUUCCUUCCGCAGCAGCCACCCUUGCUGGGGCUGCUUCCUCCCAGAAGGUCACGGCUCUGCGGUGUCUUGUUGGUCAUCUGUCCUGUGUCCAGCACUGACACUGCUGCAGCUGUGAGCCUUCCCCAGGGCUCGGCCAGUUGAACCCAGGAGGAGGCAGAUCCAUCCAGCUGCUCAGAGGCCCAGGGUGGCCUCUUUGGGAAGGAGCUGCUCUGUGCAGAGCUGGGCCUCUGAAGAUCUGGGAUCCUCCAGGCCUGGGGUAAUGAAAGCCCUUCAUUGAUGGCCAAACCUUCCCUCCACCAGGGCAAUAUGCCCCACACAUCACUGUCCCUUCCUUGUCACCUUCCUCCCUGGAGCUGACCCAGUUAUGGGCUUGAAAAUAUUAAUCUACUUCUUUGGGUGA
This 1306-nucleotide long non-coding RNA is filed under the name Homo sapiens (human). RNAcentral describes it as "HSALNT0406624". Lineage: Eukaryota; Metazoa; Chordata; Mammalia; Primates; Hominidae. The record is from RNAcentral.